AAAAAAAAUAAAAGAUAUCGAUUAUUGACGUAGAUCAUUUUGUUCUGCUUUGAACUUAUAUUCGCUUCUAAAAUUACACUUUAUAAGUACUGGAAUUAACAGACUAAAGAGAUGACAAGACUGAAAUCUCUAAUCCUGUUGUUUCUAAUCUCAAGUCAGUCUUGUGUGGUGGACGCAUAUUUGUACGAAGCUCUUGGGUGCUUGGGAGGUGUCGUCUUUAUAGCUCUCUUGGGACAACGCUCCCUGAACUUUAUAGGCUUUACAGCAGUUGGAAUCACUGCAGGAUCCUUUGCAGCCUGGUUGAUGUCGUGGGGCUUGCCAGUGGCUACACUACAAUCUGCCGGAGCGGCUGGAGUAUCGUACGGAGCUUAUGGGGUAUGGGGGCUCCUAGGCUCAAUAGUCGCUCACUAUCUCGGAUGGGAGGAUAAAAAAGAUUGAUUCGUCAGUGUUGUUUGUGUGCAUGUUUUUCUGGAUUUUCAAAAAUAAAUAAAUAUACAAAAACGAAUAAAAAUAAAUACAUCUA
Molecule: long non-coding RNA, 523 nt
Organism: Biomphalaria glabrata
Lineage: Eukaryota; Metazoa; Mollusca; Gastropoda; Planorbidae
Exons: 3
Source: RefSeq, a predicted model, not a curated record